CCGUAGCUCAGUGGAUAGAGCACUGGUUUAGUAAACCAGAGGUUGGGAGUUCGAUCCUCCCUGG
Molecule: transfer RNA, 64 nt
Filed under: Schistosoma margrebowiei
Lineage: Eukaryota; Metazoa; Platyhelminthes; Trematoda; Strigeidida; Schistosomatidae
Rfam family: tRNA
About the family: Transfer RNA (tRNA) molecules are approximately 80 nucleotides in length. Their secondary structure includes four short double-helical elements and three loops (D, anti-codon, and T loops).
Source: Rfam by way of RNAcentral